This 253-nucleotide ribosomal RNA is filed under the name uncultured bacterium. RNAcentral describes it as "partial 16S ribosomal RNA". It matches the Rfam family "Bacterial small subunit ribosomal RNA", at positions 524 to 776 of the family's 1533-position model. The record is from RNAcentral.
UACGUAGGGUGCGAGCGUUGUCCGGAAUUACUGGGCGUAAAGAGCUCGUAGGUGGUUUGUCGCGUUGUUCGUGAAAACCGGGGGCUUAACCCUCGGCGUGCGGGCGAUACGGGCAGACUGGAGUACUGCAGGGGAGACUGGAGUUCCUGGUGUAGCGGUGGAAUGCGCAGAUAUCAGGAGGAACACCGGUGGCGAAGGCGGGUCUCUGGGCAGUAACUGACGCUGAGGAGCGAAAGCGUGGGGAGCGAACAGG